UACGGAGGGUGCAAGCGUUGUCCGGAUUCAUUGGGUUUAAAGGGUGCGCAGGCGGCGCGUUAAGACAGGUGUGAAAGCCCCGAGCUUAACUUGGGAAUUGCGCUUGUGACUGGCGUGCUGGAGUGUGGCAGAGGGAGGUGGAAUUCCACGUGUAGCAGUGAAAUGCGUAGAGAUGUGGAGGAACACCGAUGGCGAAGGCAGCCUCCUGGGCCAGCACUGACGCUCAUGCACGAAAGCGUGGGGAGCAAACAGG
Molecule: ribosomal RNA, 253 nt
Filed under: uncultured bacterium
Lineage: Bacteria
Description: partial 16S ribosomal RNA
Rfam family: Bacterial small subunit ribosomal RNA
Source: RNAcentral